AGGUCCCGCCUGCCCAGUGAAUCUUAAACGGCCGCGGUAUUAUAACCGUGCAAAGGUAGCGUAAUCACUUGUCUUUUAAAUAAAGACCUGUAUGAACGGCUAAAUGAGGACAAACCUGUCUCCUGUAACUAAUCAGUGAAACUGAUCUUCCAGUACAAAAGCUGGAAUACCCCCAUAAGACGAGAAGACCCUGUGGAGCUUAAAAUCCACUACUAACCACGGAACUAGUACACAUUUUAAGUUGGGGCGACUUCGGAAAAAACCAAAACUUCCGAGCACAGAACCACAAGUUCUAAUCAAGGCCAACAAGCCUAGACCAAAACCUGACCCAGUCAAACUGAGCAACGAACCAAGUUACCCCAGGGAUAACAGCGCCAUCUUCUUCAAGAGUCCCUAUCGACAAGAAGGUUUACGACCUCGAUGUUGGAUCAGGACACCCAAAUGGUGCAGCCGCUAUUAAUGGUUCGUUUGUUCAACGAUUAACAGUCCUACGUGAUCUGAGU
The sequence is a ribosomal RNA, 503 nucleotides long. It matches the Rfam family "Bacterial large subunit ribosomal RNA", at positions 1850 to 2610 of the family's 2925-position model.